UACGAAGGGGGCUAGCGUUGCUCGGAAUCACUGGGCGUAAAGCGCACGUAGGCGGGUCUUUAAGUCGGGGGUGAAAUCCUGGAGCUCAACUCCAGAACUGCCUUCGAUACUGAGGAUCUCGAGUCCGGGAGAGGUGAGUGGAACUCCGAGUGUGGAGGUGAAAUUCGUAGAUAUUCGGAAGAACACCAGUGGCGAAGGCGGCUCACUGGCCCGGUACUGACGCUGAGGUGCGAAAGCGUGGGGAGCAAACAGG
RNAcentral lists this ribosomal RNA (253 nucleotides) under uncultured bacterium. RNAcentral describes it as "partial 16S ribosomal RNA". It matches the Rfam family "Bacterial small subunit ribosomal RNA", at positions 524 to 776 of the family's 1533-position model. The record is from RNAcentral.